CCUACGGGGGACAGCAGUGGGGAAUAUUGCACAAUGGGGGAAACCCUGAUGCAGCGACGCCGCGUGAGUGAAGAAGUAAUUCGUUAUGUAAAGCUCUAUCAGCAGGGAAGAAAAUGACGGUACCUGAGUAAGAAGCCCCGGCUAACUACGUGCCAGCAGCCGCGGUAAUACGUAGGGGGCAAGCGUUAUCCGGAUUUACUGGGUGUAAAGGGAGCGUAGACGGCAGUGCAAGUCUGGAGGGAAAGGGGGGGGCUCAACCCCCGGACUGCCCUGGAAACUGUACGGCUGGAGUGCAGGAGAGGUAAGUGGAAUUCGUAGUGUAGCGGUGAAAUGCGUAGAUAUUAGGAGGAACACCAGUGGCGAAGGCGGCUUACUGGACUGUAACUGACGUUGAGGCUCGAAAGCGUGGGGAGCAAACAGGAUUAGAUACCCGAGUAGUC
RNAcentral lists this ribosomal RNA (440 nucleotides) under uncultured bacterium. RNAcentral's name for it is "partial 16S ribosomal RNA". It matches the Rfam family "Bacterial small subunit ribosomal RNA", at positions 338 to 795 of the family's 1533-position model. The record is from RNAcentral.